Molecule: ribosomal RNA, 1350 nt
Filed under: uncultured marine eukaryote
Lineage: Eukaryota
Description: SSU rRNA
Rfam family: Eukaryotic small subunit ribosomal RNA
Source: RNAcentral
CACUUCUAAGGAAGGCAGCAGGCGCGCAAAUUACCCAAUCCUGACUCAGGGAGGUAGUGACAAGAAAUAACAAUAAACCGGCUUAUGCCGGUUUAAUUGGAAUGAGUACAAUUUAAACAUCUUAACGAGGAACAAUUGGAGGGCAAGUCUGGUGCCAGCAGCCGCGGUAAUUCCAGCUCCAAUAGCGUAUACUAAAGUUGUUGCAGUUAAAAAGCUCGUAGUUGGAUUUCUGUGGGGACGGAGCGGCCGGCCGCAACUCGCGGUUCGAGCUAGCGCUUUCCCUACAUCCUGCCGCGAACCGUGCUACCAUUAGUUUGGUGGCGCCGGGGAUCGGCUCGAUUACUUUGAGAAAAAUAGAGUGUUCAAAGCAGGCCACACGCCUUGAAUAAGUUAGCAUGGAAUAAUAACUAAGGACUUCGGUUCUAUUUUGUUGGUGUUCGGGACUGAAGUAAUGAUUGAUAGGGACAGUUGGGGCGGUCUGUAUUCCAAAGCGGGAGGUGAAAUUCUUAGACCUUCGGAAGACAAACAGCUGCGAAAGCGUUCCGCAAGGAUGUUCCCUUUGAUCAAGAACGAAAGUUGGGGGAUCGAAGACGAUCAGAUACCGUCGUAGUCUCAACUAUAAACUAUACCAGCUAGGGAUCGGCCAACGUUAUUUUAUACCGACUUGGUCGGCACCUUAUGAGAAAUCAAAGCAUCUGGGUUCCGGGGGGAGUAUGGUCGCAAGGCUGAAACUUAAAGGAAUUGACGGAAGGGCACCACCAGCCGUGGAGCCUGUGGCUUAAUUUGACUCAACACGGGAAAACUUACCAGGUCCAGACAUAGUAAGGAUUGACAGAUUGAUAGCUCUUUCUUGAUUCUGUGGGUGGUGGUGCAUGGCCGUUCUUAGUUGGUGGAGUGAUUUGUCUGGUUAAUUCCGUUAACGAACGAGACCCCAGCCUGCUAAAUAGCGCGCGUGAGCUUUGCUCGCGGCGAGCUUCUUAGAGGGACUCUGAUGCGCGAUAGCACAUGGAAGUUUGGGGCAAUAACAGGUCUGUGAUGCCCUUAGAUGUUCUGGGCCGCACACGGGCUACACUGGCGCCUGCAACGAGCAUAUCAGCUGGCCCGAGAGGGUCUUGGCUAAUCUUUUGAACCGGCGCCGUGCUUGGGAUUGACCUUUGCAAUUGUUGGUCAUGCAACGAGGAAUGCCUUGUAAACGCGAGUCAUCAGCUCGCAUUGAAUACGUCCCUGCCCUUUGUACACACCGCCCGUCGCUCCUACCGAUGAAUGUUCCGAUGAAAUUUUCGGAGAGCACCUGUGAACUUGGCUCUGCCUUGCGAACGGGAGGCUCAAAGUCACUUAAAUCUGAACAUU